RNAcentral lists this ribosomal RNA (452 nucleotides) under uncultured marine bacterium. RNAcentral describes it as "bacterial SSU rRNA". It matches the Rfam family "Bacterial small subunit ribosomal RNA", at positions 360 to 804 of the family's 1533-position model. The record is from RNAcentral.
AAUAUUGGACAAUGGGCGCAAGCCUGAUCCAGCAAUGCCGCGUGUGUGAAGAAGGCCUGAGGGUUGUAAAGCACUUUCAGCGGGGAGGAAGGGAUGUUGUCGAAUAGGCAACAUUUUUGACGUUACCCGCAGAAGAAGCACCGGCUAACUCUGUGCCAGCAGCCGCGGUAAUACAGAGGGUGCAAGCGUUAAUCGGAGUGACUGGGCGUAAAGGGCGUGUAGGUGGAUAGAUAAGUUAUGUGUGAAAUAUCUGGGCUUAACCUAGAGGGGUCAUGUGAUACUGUCUAUCUCGAGUAGAGCAGAGGGAAGUAGAAUUUCCGGUGUAGCGGUGAAAUGCGUAGGGAUCGGAAGGAAUACCAGUGGCGAAGGCGGCUUCCUGGGCCCAUACUGACACUGAGGCGCGAAAGCGUGGGUAGCGAACAGGAUUAGAUACCCUGGUAGUCCACGCUGUA